RNAcentral lists this ribosomal RNA (472 nucleotides) under Falcaustra sinensis. Its description in RNAcentral is "partial 12S ribosomal RNA". The record is from RNAcentral. Lineage: Eukaryota; Metazoa; Nematoda; Chromadorea; Rhabditida; Kathlaniidae.
GACUUAAUAAAUUUGUGCUCUAAAUGUUGUUAUUUUAAGCUUUAAGGAUCAAGAUUUUGUGAUUUUGGGGUGGAAUAGGAAAUAAUUUUUUUUUUUUGGUUUAAAAUUUUAGAUUUGGCAAGUGAAACGGAUUAGUACCCGUGUAAUUAAAAUUUAGAAGUUCAGGAGUAAAGUUAUGUUUAAACUGAAAAAAUAUUGGCAGAUUUUUAAAUAAUCUUUGGAGGUUGAGUAAUAAUCGAGAACCCUCGUUAUCUGCUUUUAUUUUUGUUUCAUGUAUGAUCGUCUUUUUUAUUCUUAGGGGUUGUAAGAUUAAAUUUUUGAUUGUUAAGAUAGAUAUAUAUCUGGUUGAUGUAGGAGAAUUGAAUUUGACCUACAAUAUUUUAAGAGGUGGAUUCCUUAUUGUAGGGAUGGGGAUGAAAAUGUAAAAGACAGUAAAAAUUUUUUUAUAUAAUUUUGAAGUUUGUUUAAAAAU